RNAcentral lists this long non-coding RNA (202 nucleotides) under Gossypium barbadense (sea-island cotton). RNAcentral's name for it is "long non-coding RNA (GBAR_LNC017952)". The record is from RNAcentral. Lineage: Eukaryota; Viridiplantae; Streptophyta; Magnoliopsida; Malvales; Malvaceae.
CGAAUUCCAAUUUCAGAUUUGUGUUUACACACCUAGUUUCUAUUCACCAAGAAGGAAAACCCCGAGCCUUUGAAACCUAGAUUUGACCAAACAAUCACCAAUUAAUAACUUAUACCCUUACUCAAUCAAAAACACACGAGUUGACCAAGCGUUAACUAGCAACAACGUUCCCUUCAAUCGAGUAAAGAAGGAGGUUUCGCCC